Molecule: ribosomal RNA, 254 nt
Filed under: uncultured bacterium
Lineage: Bacteria
Description: partial 16S ribosomal RNA
Rfam family: Bacterial small subunit ribosomal RNA
Source: RNAcentral
UACAGAGGGUGCAAGCGUUAAUCGGAAUUACUGGGCGUAAAGCGUGCGCAGACGGUUGCGUAAGUCAGAUGUGAAAGCCCCGGGCUCAACCUGGGAAUUGCAUUUGAGACUGCGUAGCUAGGGUGCGGAAGAGGGAAGCGGAAUUUCCGGUGUAGCGGUGAAAUGCGUAGAUAUCGGAAGGAACACCAGUGGCGAAGGCGGCCACCUGGCUCGGGUACUGACGCUCAGGUUCGAAAGCGUGGGGAGCAAACAGG